Molecule: ribosomal RNA, 301 nt
Filed under: uncultured bacterium
Lineage: Bacteria
Description: partial 16S ribosomal RNA
Rfam family: Bacterial small subunit ribosomal RNA
Source: RNAcentral
CAGUAGCCGCGGUAAUACGUAGGUGGCAAGCGUUGUCCGGAAUUAUUGGGCGUAAAGGGCUCGCAGGCGGUUUCUUAAGUCUGAUGUGAAAGCCCCCGGCUCAACCGGGGAGGGUCAUUGGAAACUGGGAAACUUGAGUGCAGAAGAGGAGAGUGGAAUUCCACGUGUAGCGGUGAAAUGCGUAGAGAUGUGGAGGAACACCAGUGGCGAAGGCGACUCUCUGGUCUGUAACUGACGCUGAGGAGCGAAAGCGUGGGGAGCGAACAGGAUCAGAGACCCCUGUAGUCCCUGUCUCUUAUAC